Molecule: long non-coding RNA, 1640 nt
Filed under: Sus scrofa (pig)
Lineage: Eukaryota; Metazoa; Chordata; Mammalia; Artiodactyla; Suidae
Description: lncRNA (ENSSSCG00005033001.1, ENSSSCG00050052323.1)
Source: RNAcentral
ACAGCGAGACGGGCGGUGGGGCGGAGCCGAGGCCCAGGAACGGAGGUGGAGGAGCAGACCCGGGCGACGCGGCCCGCGAGCGAGAGGGUCGUCCGGGUCAGUCCAGCGCAACUCGGGUCACCAGUCCCAGGGCCCUGGUCCCCUUAUUGGAUCUAUGUCUGGGUUUGCUGAAGCACCCGCUGGGCCCAGGACUGCAGAGACGCCCCUACCCAGGCUGUGCCCCGGGUGGAGGGGGACAGGGGGAACGGCUUCAUCGCGGGGUUCGGGGCAGGACAGCUCAGGACCUGCGGAGAUACUGGAUGGUGUAGGAUCCCAGGCCAAAGGUGGCGCACCCUGAGAUCAGCAGCCCAGCUCCCUGCAGCCUUGAGGAGGGCGCUGCCUGCGUCUUUGGGAGCCUCAGCUUCCCCUCCGGUUCCGGGCCUUGGAGUGCUGGUCUGCAGCUGCGGCCUGGCUCUGUGCCCGGCCUGACCCUCGUUCACACUGCACACCCCUGGAGGCAGGACAGAAAGUGUGCACAGCGAAGACCCUGACACCCUACUGGUUGAUGAUCCAAAUCCCGAGGUCCCUCUCAGAGUCCGGUGAGAUCCAGAGCCAGCUAGAGGAAGAAAGUGGCCGCGUCAGCUCCCGAAAGGCCGUCUGGGUGAGGUUGAAAGGAAAAGCCAACAGGAGUUCCCAUCGUGGGGCUUCGGAAACAAUCCGACCAGGAACCAUGAGGUUGCGGUUUCCAUCCCUGGCCUGGCUCAGUGGAUUAAGGAUCCGGUGUCUCUGUGGCUAUGGUGUAGGCCGGCAGCCGUAGCUCCCAUUCGACCAGCAGGCUCUCGGGUCCACCUCCUCUCCCCGUGGUCCUGUGCUGCCUCUUCCUACCCUGCUCCUCAGCAGCUCAGUGCAACUCUCCUGUCCCCCGCAUCCUCCCUGGUCGCACGCAGAGAGCAUCUGUGCAAAGACAACAGACGCGGCCACCCAGACCCUUUAGCUCACAGAGGAUGCCCUGAACGGACUCCCAGGGAGCCUACAGAAGACCACGGACUUGAGAAGGCACUGUGAACUGCUUGGUAGCAUCUGCAAGAUGGGGUUUGGUUUCAGGUCUGUGUCCUGCCCGCCACCCUCAGGCCCCGGUGGGCUCAGGAGGGCCUUGGGCACAGCCCGAGGGGCCUCGACCCUCAUACAGUGCAGAGCAAAGUCAGAGAUGGGUGGAGGCAGCUGCUGCUCCGGGUGGGAGCUGAUGACAUCCCGCCUGUCGUGUAGACAUUUGAGUUAACUGGCCCUGGGGUUGCCAAUAAUCUCAGUCAGGUCAAAGCCUCCACUCGGAGACGUUUGGGGCAGAAACCUGCUGAUUUACCCCUUGUUUUAACUCUUGGGGAACAAGGGGAUUGCUGACCGCUCCCACUGGCAGGGAGCAGGGAGUGGAAAGAGAACAGCCCUCGAGGGAGAGGCCAAGGAGCCCGUCUGCUCUGGCUCUGCACCGUCCAGCACAGUGGCCUCAGCCUGUCCCAACUGCGAUGUGCGAAUGUGCACAAGAAACACCUGAUUUCAAAGACGUUGAAAAAAAUGCCAAAUAUCUUUCUAAUAAUUUUAUAUUGAUUGCCUCUGGAAAUUAUGUUUUAGAUGUGUUAAGGUAAAUAAAAUAUAUUAUUAAAUUU